Kluyveromyces marxianus is the source of this 123-nucleotide non-coding RNA. The record is from Rfam. Lineage: Eukaryota; Fungi; Ascomycota; Saccharomycetes; Saccharomycetales; Saccharomycetaceae.
GGGCGUGUGGUCUAGUGGUAUGAUUCUCGCUUUGGGUUAAUAGCCUAGCGAAGCUUCGAUAAACGGAGUUCUCACUACUGCAAAGCAUGCGAGAGGCCCUGGGUUCAAUUCCCAGCUCGCCCC